This 1204-nucleotide long non-coding RNA is filed under the name Pan troglodytes (chimpanzee). RNAcentral describes it as "lincRNA". Lineage: Eukaryota; Metazoa; Chordata; Mammalia; Primates; Hominidae. The record is from RNAcentral.
CGACAUCAGUCUCCAGAGUGAAUCCAAGGAGUGGACCCAAGACAUUUGUGUUCUGUGAUGUGGUGGCAUGUUACCUGUCAUCUCUGAUGCAUAACUCCUAAAGUGUUUGCGUCUGGGGCAGUUGUACAGAUUGCAAAGGAUAAUACUCAAGAUGUCCUCCAAGGCCAACUACUCAUCAGUUUAUUCAUAACUCCCAAGAUGGUCGUGGGCCACUUCCAAGAUGGUGGCAAGAGUCGUAUUCUCUGACCUGGGGUUCUUGGUCUCAUGGAUUCCAAGGAAUGGAAUCUUGCGCCAUGUGGAGGAGCGUCAGAUAAUUAGGCAGCAGUCCAACAAUUAGGUUUUGUGGAACUUUUACUAUGUCAUCUAUUUAUUGGAAUUCCCUCUGGAUACCAGGACCCCCUCCAGCAGAGCUUAAAGUUAUAGUUACAGGAAGUACAAAUUCCGUAUGUGGAUCCCUGGAAGUGUGAUGAGAAGAACCACUGUUUCCAAGAUCUAUUUAUUCUAUUUAUCAGGCCUAUAAAAUCAUGUAAUGGCCAUGGCUUCAACUAGACUCCACAUCUUGAAUCACAGAACUCAACGAAUGGCAUCAACUACAAGCUGGUAUUCUGCUAUACAUUUAAGAGGCCAUUUUAAUAUUCUAUUAGUCUAGCAGCUUCUAAGUGAUGAGGGAUAUAGGGGGACUGGAGGAUCCCGUGCUCACUUCCUUUUCUGUAAAAGGAGCUCUUUGAUCCAAGGUGACAUGGUAUGGGAUCCAAUGACAAUAAAUCAGUUAUUCUGUGAACCCUGAUCAAAACUUGACUAAACUUUUGACAGUUAGGUUUUUUCCUGACCACAGACUCCUCCCCUUUCUUUUCUUAGAAAAUUUACAUUGGAAAACAGAUGUAAAUUUUCUCCAGCCUCUUGCAAGGUUUACAGUCCAGGACUUUGAGGUCCUGGGAGUCAUCCUUUUGAAAUACAAUCAUCAAAGAAGAUAGUGCUCCAAUCUCCUAGUCUCUGUGGGAGGGUGGGAACCUAACUUCAGUAAACUAAGCACCAAUUAGCAAACACAGAGGGGCUGAUCAUAUUGACCCACUUUCCCACUAAAAUGUCUAGUACUUUCCACCAGCUCACCACAGUGCUUAAAAACUCUCCUGUCUUUUGUUUUAGUAGAGUCCAAUCUCUUUCAUCUAUUGCAAUAGUGUUGAAUAAAGUCUUCCUUGCCUAA